AGUCGGCGUGCCUUGCAGCUGUUGGCUUGACCCCAGGCCGGGACGGGCAGAGCGGAACACUGCCCGGCGGGUCCAGGCCGACCGUGCCUGUGGCUCUCCGGAACAAUAAACCCCCGGCCCCAGUGAUGUGGGCCAGACCGGACCUGGAGAGGCGGCACCGCGACCCCUCCCGCAACCCGCCUGGCGGCCGGGGGCAGCGUGACCCGGCCCGCUACCGUGUCACAGCUGGCGACUGACAAACAGCAGGCGACGUCGGGAGAACUCCCCGAGACACCCGAGACAUCAGCCUUCUCGCUCCGCGGCCCUGCAGGACCUGCCCGCCGGGAGCCCCGGAGUCCGCGGCAGCGCCGAGGGCCCCUCCCCCAGGCCUCUGGGCUCUGAGGCUCAUCCAUGGAAUACCAAUUCUUUUUCUUAGUGUUCACAUUGGAUUUUUCUGUUAAAAAUAGAUUGUUGGAGUUGGCUAACAAGUUGAUUACUUCCAGUCAGGCACUCUCUUCUGUAAAGUCUCUUUUGUAAACUCCUACAAGCAGCUAUUUCACUGGAUUUGAAAAGACUGACUAAAAAGAACCAUGCACUGUAACUCUCAAGUAUACAGGAAUAUUGUUAUUAGGUCACAGUGAGCCGAGAUCAUGCCACUCCACUCCAGCCUGGGUGACAGAGCAAGACUCCAUUUCAAAAAAAAAAAAAACUGAAAAUACCAAAUAUUGACAAGGAUUUGGAGCAAGUGGAACCCUCAUACAUUGCUGAUGGAAAUGCAAAAUUAUACAGCCAAUUUGGAAAAAUAACUGGGUGUGGUGGUGUGCACCUAUUUUUCCAACAACUUGGGAGACUAAGGGACCAUGCCUGGCCGGAUGCUGCCGCCUGGCUUCAGUGCCAUCUGCAUGUCCUCAGGGAUGACAAAGGACUCAUUGUACCAGAUGUCAAAUUCUACAAGGAGAGACGGGGUCUCACUGUAUUGCCCAGGCUGGUCUCGAACUCCUGUACUCAAGCAAUCCACCCGCCUCAGCCUCCCAAAGUGCUGAGAUUACAGGCGUGAGCCACUUCGCCUGGCCUAGGAGAUAUGAGUUUACUUGAUCUGUUCAAGUAAAUUCAAUAAAAUAAAGACAGUCUUCAUCUGUCACCCAGACUGGAGUGCAGUGGCGCAAUCUUGCCUCACUACAACCUCUGCCUCCUGGGCUCAAGCGAUUUUCAUGCCUCAGCCUCCCAAGAUGCUAGGAUUACAAGUGUGUGCCACCACGCCCUGCUCCUCUGAGAAAUAAAUGAGUAAAAUGCACCCCCUGUGAGUGAGAUGAUGCAUCUGACUUGCAGGAAUAAACCAAGUGACAUCUGGAGAUCACUCAUGGAAGCUGGCCUGGAACAGGGUUGUGAUUUAGCGAGGGAAAGCCCAGUAACCUGUGGUGUUUCCUGUCUGGAAGAAGACAGUAAGACUGAGCCAGGAGUGUGAAGAACAGUGUGGCCUCUGAACCACCUGUCCCAGAGUUGGAAUGGUCACUCACUAAAAUGCAGGUCCUGGGCCCUGCUCCAUCUCUCCCAAGUCAGAACCACUGGCUGAGGGGCUGGGAAUCUGCACUUGACCAGCCCUCUCAGAUAAGUCAUCUGAACACGCAAGCUUGGUGGGCCUUGGCCCUCAGUGCAGGUGUGGGCGGCGCACGCCACCAGGACAAGGACACUGGGUCAGAGUAACCAGGUACUCUUCACAUGUUGAGGAUCACAUAUGGUUUUGUUUGAUCUGGUGCAGAAGCUAACAUUAGCUGAUUACCUAAUUGGGCGUAAUUCCUCCUUCGGGGAGUCUGAGGGAAGGGGCUCAAUGCUGGAAGUUUCCCGGUCCCGCGAAAGCAUGUCUUUGACAUCCCCAUCUUUGGAGGAUGGGACCAGCUGGGUCUUGGAGGUGGAAACGUAAUCCAAGUCCUUCCCAUUCACAGGGCUGCUGGCACCUUCCUUUCUUGCCAAGGAGCUGGAAGAAGGCACGGAAGCCCCAGGGUUCAGUCAUGGACAGUGAGUUAUCAGAUGCCAGGAUGAGUGACCUUUCUCAGCACUGACUACACUGGGAACCCCACCUCAUUCAGCUCCCAUCUUGUUCAUAUGCCUAGGUAAAAGCGCAAAUAGUGUGAUGCUAAGCCAGGCAGAUGUGGAGGAAGAAGAGGGCAUUUUUCUCCCUUUUAUCAGAACAAAGAGCCCUCGGUGGUCUUGGCAGGAGACGCUUGGGAAAAAUGGGUACAAUCUCCAGGGAUUGAAAGUGUAUGGACCUGUAGGAUGGGCCACAGGUUCUCAGGAACCACCACGGCUGCUGAGGUCUGAGUCAUACAGGCUUCCCCGGGAAGGACUGGCAGAGCCCCACACAGGGUGGUUCUGUCUGUGGAUCAAUGGUAAAGCAGGAUGGCUCUGCCCUGCUGUUCUUACUGGUCCACACCCUGUUCUCCACACCAGCUCCCAGAAAAGUAGCUGUCCUCCCUGCUGAAGUGACAGUGCUUGGUGCCUUUCUCCGAGAAGAGGCAGAUCUGAGGACCGAACUGGCAGGAGGAUGCCCAUGGCUCUUCCCAAAGGUCUGAGGAUAGAAAAUCUGUUUCUUCCUCUUUCCUCCUCCUUGCAACGAGUAUGGCUCAGGGAACUGAGCCUCAACCCAUUGAAUACUGCACUGAUUAUCCGGAAGCAGAACAGAGAGGGUUGGGGUGUGACUGCACUCAUGAAGAGGCAGGAGGAAGCCAGGGACACUGGCAUCCUCUGCUGCCUGACUCUUGUCCUGCGUGUAACAGUUUUCUACAAUCAGCUCUGGCCUGUGGCCUGUGCUCACACACUCUUGCUCACAACAACCUCAAUGACUUGGAUGCUAUUAUUAUUAUUCCCAUUUUGGAGAUGCAGAAACAGGCACAGAGCGGUUCUCAUGUCUCACAUGGGGUGACCCCUUGGGUGUGAGAAGUGCAGAGCAGGGAAGGGAGCCCAGGCGUCAGCUCCAGAGCCUGUGCUCUUACCCACCACUACACAGCACCCUGGGAGGGCUCACUAAGUGAACCUAAAUGCUCUUCCCACCUUGCACAUACAAACGAGUCUUGCCUGAAAGGUGAACUGGAGUUUUAGGUGACCUGAGUGCCAGUCGGCGGGAAGACCCUAGUGAAGUGAGGGGAGGGGGUACAACAUAAAGUACCAGAGGGCAUGGGCUCUGGAGAGCUGGUCCAGCUUCUUGCUGCCAUUCCACUACUCAUUGGUGGUAUGGCCUUGGUGAGUGACUUCCCCUCUCUAAGCCUCUGUUUCUUCAUCAGUGUAAUGAAGACAUUAACUCCCACCUCACCAGGUUGCUGUGAGGACGAGAGAUGAUUCUUGUGCGGUUCCAAACCAGCCCCAGCCCGGGCCCCACAGACUUGCUAGUAUUGGCAGCAGUGACGUCCAUUGUGCCAACCCAGUAGCUGAGACACCAGGGGGAAAGUGGGAACAGUGCACAUCCUCCCAUGCACCCACCGAGGAGGGCCAGCUGCUGAGGAGGCAGAGCGGCAAGGUCACUCACCUGAGUGGCUCUUUGAAUGUCUUCUUGGACUUGGCUUUCUUCCCAGGUUUGGUAGAGAAAGGGGCGACUCCGAGUCCAAAGUUUUGUCCUUCAGGCUCACCCACUAGGUGGCCAUCAACAUCCACAAGCCCCGCCUACAUAGAGAGGCCAGCCAAAGGUCUGUGAGUUAGAUUAAGGGCUUGGACCCCUUGGGGACCCACAUGUAUAUGGCCCAAGGCUCAGGGUGGACAUGUUCACCAUACACACCAAGGUUUGACAGCUGCUGAUGCCAGCCUCAGGCUGUCCCCUGUAGAGCGGUCCCUGACCACUCUGCCAAAUGUCCACUUUCCACAUGCACCCCCUCACCAGUAUGGCACCUCAUUCCAUACUCUGGGGAUCUUAAAGCUUAUUUCCAACCUAAUUCCAGGAAAUCGUCUUUAAUAUUAUUAUCCAUGUCUCUACCUUAUGGAAAUUAUUUUUAAUUCAAAAGUGGUUUACUCUUAACACAGGUCACCUGUGUUCAUUCUGGUGUUACCUUUAUCUGUUGCAAUCCUAGCUCUGGUUUAAUGCAUUAAUACUUGCUGGCUCUGCAAAGGUCUGAGGAUGGGAAAUCUGAGGUGAGUGCUGUCGGCAAGUAGCAACUAUGCUUACCUUCUGGAUAGCAGAAAUGGCUGCAAAGUCAUUCCUGUCAAUGAGGGUGUACUUCCUGCGCAAAGUGGACUCCACUUCCUGUUCCUGUUGGCUUGGGAGACAGCAAGAGAGAACAGCUUGUACCUGGGGCCAUGCUGAAUCCACUGGGGCAAGAACCAAGUACUGGGGUUAAAAGUCAUAUGGGUGAGGCCCCUUGUGUGGGGCCACACCUUCAUCAUGAACCAGACCAGACAAAAGGACAAAGGACUCACUUCCCCCUGCCCCAUUGCAUAUACCCACUGUCCGACCCCCAUACCCACAAGGGCUACCUUAUGUCAUGUGUGUCUGCUCCAAGAUGACACUUGAUAAGGACCGUAAGCUUCACUUGGGACCAUGUGGGGUUCUGUCUUAGGUUCUGUCUCUAAGAGGCCACUUGGAAUCACAUGACCAGCUUUAGUGACACCACCUAGCAUAAGCUGCUCAGACUAUGGGUAUGUUUGCACCCAAAUAAACCACAAAUGCCUCCUGAGGUGGGAGUGUGUGUUGCAAUAUUCACAAGGUGAAUAUUCACAAUGCCCUGCUCUGGGCACUCUCAGAGCUGGCACUCCAUAAACACCUCCUGUCCAAUUAAUGAACUCACUGAAUAUCCACCAGGGACCCAGGCAUGCCCCCAAGGACUCUGAUUUGGCUCUUCAUCCACAAGCAAGAAGAGGAGCUCUUGGAGGCAAGUGCCCAGAUGGCAGGAGAUGAAAAUGGCAGCCUGAUGUAGGAAUGAGGUAGGGGUGGGGGUCUCUCACCUCAGAACCACCCGGAACUGGUUGAACACCUCCUUGAUCUGUCUAAGGCUGAUUAUCUGGAGGGAAGACAGCAAGGCAGAGGUUAGACCAAGGGCACCUCGAGGGACCAGGGGGCAUCUAUGUUAGUAGAGAAAUCAAGACCCCUUGGCUGACCCCUGGACCAUCUGUCUCGAGAAGAGGACGUGUGCACACAGCCUCUCAGCGAAGUGGCAGCCAAGCCCUCCUCCAGAGCAGAGAAACACCUGAUUAAUAAUUUUAAAACUAAGUAUUUGCUGAGGCUAUAAAAACCACCUUUUCGAAGUGGAGACCUCUAUAAAAUGAAAUGAUUCUAUACCUUGAAAAUACCUUCUAAAGGUUUUUUUUUUUUUUUUAAUAAAAUGUACUUCUCAGCUUUCUCU
This 5303-nucleotide long non-coding RNA is filed under the name Homo sapiens (human). RNAcentral describes it as "HSALNT0311670". Lineage: Eukaryota; Metazoa; Chordata; Mammalia; Primates; Hominidae. The record is from RNAcentral.